ACCAGACUCCUACGGGAGGCAGCAGUGGGGAAUAUUGGACAAUGGGGGGAACCCUGAUCCAGCGACGCCGCGUGAGUGAAGAAGUAUUUCGGUAUGUAAAGCUCUAUCAGCAGGGAAGAUAAUGACGGUACCUGAGUAAGAAGCCCCGGCUAACUACGUGCCAGCAGCCGCGGUAAUACGUAGGGGGCAAGCGUUAUCCGGAUUUACUGGGUGUAAAGGGAGCGUAGACGGCAUGGCAAGUCUGAAGUGAAAGCCCGGGGCUCAACCGCGGGACUGCUUUGGAAACUGUUAAGCUGGAGUGCAGGAGAGGUAAGUGGAAUUCCUAGUGUAGCGGUGAAAUGCGUAGAUAUUAGGAGGAACACCAGUGGCGAAGGCGGCUUACUGGACUGUAACUGACGUUGAGGCUCGAAAGCGUGGGGAGCAAACAGGAUUAGAUACCCGUGUA
This 445-nucleotide ribosomal RNA is filed under the name uncultured bacterium. RNAcentral's name for it is "bacterial SSU rRNA". It matches the Rfam family "Bacterial small subunit ribosomal RNA", at positions 330 to 792 of the family's 1533-position model. The record is from RNAcentral.